GGGGGCUUGUGUGUGCAGGAUCAGCGCGAGAAAAGUUUUCAUUCUACGCACUAAGAAACAUCAUAGAAGCAACGCCUUUUCACCAUACGUUAAUGUGGAAGAGUGAACAGCAAACAGUUAAUCUUACUGCAAUCAUGCCCUCAUUGACUACGGUGUUUAGUUCCGUGUUCCUACACCAGUACAACAACACUGCAGGCUACAUUGCCUUAUCUUUUCAACAAGGAAUAUGGAAAAAAAAACCUCUAUCAGGGCCAGGGUACUGAUUGUGUAUGAUCAGCCACGAUCACAGUGAAUGCUGGCUAGAAGGGCCGAAUGGCCUACUCCUGCACCUACUGUCUAUUGUCUAUUGAGUUAAACCCCUGCAAAGUCUGGAGGGUUUGGGCAAUGGCCACCCUCCAGUCAAAAAGUCAGUUCCUUUUAUUUCCUCAUGAUUUCUUCAAACAAAGAAACUCUGGGCUGUGGGAUCAGAAGAUUCAUCAUUACUUCAAAGGAAUCAUUGUUACGGGGAAGUAGCUCCUUAAUGACUGUAUAAAUCACAUGGACUUUUCAA
Molecule: long non-coding RNA, 550 nt
Organism: Hypanus sabinus (Atlantic stingray)
Lineage: Eukaryota; Metazoa; Chordata; Chondrichthyes; Myliobatiformes; Dasyatidae
Exons: 3
Source: RefSeq, a predicted model, not a curated record